RNAcentral lists this ribosomal RNA (271 nucleotides) under uncultured soil bacterium. Its description in RNAcentral is "partial 16S ribosomal RNA". It matches the Rfam family "Bacterial small subunit ribosomal RNA", at positions 26 to 285 of the family's 1533-position model. The record is from RNAcentral.
AGAAUCAACGCUGGCGGCGUGCCUAACACAUGCAAGUCGAGCGCGAAAGGGGGGCAACUCCUGAGUAGAGCGGCGAACGGGUGAGUAACGCGUGGGUAAUCUACCUUCGAGUGGGGAAUAACCCCGGGAAACUGGGGCUAAUACCGCAUGACAUCAUCGGGUCUUCGGGUCUGAUGAUCAAAGCCGGGACGCAAGGCCUGGCGCUUGAAGACGAGCCCGCGUCCGAUUAGCUAGUUGGCGGGGUAAUGGCCCACCAAGGCUUCGAUCGGUA